This 532-nucleotide ribosomal RNA is filed under the name uncultured Thielavia. RNAcentral describes it as "SSU rRNA". It matches the Rfam family "Eukaryotic small subunit ribosomal RNA", at positions 218 to 755 of the family's 1831-position model. Lineage: Eukaryota; Fungi; Ascomycota; Sordariomycetes; Sordariales; Chaetomiaceae. The record is from RNAcentral.
AAAACCAAUGCCCUUCGGGGCUCCUUGGUGAUUCAUAAUAACUUCUCGAAUCGCACGGCCUUGCGCCGGCGAUGGUUCAUUCAAAUUUCUGCCCUAUCAACUUUCGACGGCUGGGUCUUGGCCAGCCAUGGUGACAACGGGUAACGGAGGGUUAGGGCUCGACCCCGGAGAAGGAGCCUGAGAAACGGCUACUACAUCCAAGGAAGGCAGCAGGCGCGCAAAUUACCCAAUCCCGACUCGGGGAGGUAGUGACAAUAAAUACUGAUACAGGGCUCUUUCGGGUCUUGUAAUCGGAAUGAGUACAAUUUAAAUCCCUUAACGAGGAACAAUUGGAGGGCAAGUCUGGUGCCAGCAGCCGCGGUAAUUCCAGCUCCAAUAGCGUAUAUUAAGUUGUUGAGGUUAAAAAGCUCGUAGUUGAACCUUGGGCCUAGCCGGCCGGUCCGCCUCACCGCGUGCACUGGCUCGGCUGGGCCUUUCCCUCUGUGGAACCUCAUGCCCUUCACUGGGUGUGCAGGGGAACCAGGACUUUUAC